RNAcentral lists this ribosomal RNA (332 nucleotides) under uncultured Gemmatimonas sp. RNAcentral describes it as "bacterial SSU rRNA". It matches the Rfam family "Bacterial small subunit ribosomal RNA", at positions 568 to 898 of the family's 1533-position model. Lineage: Bacteria; Pseudomonadati; Gemmatimonadota; Gemmatimonadia; Gemmatimonadales; Gemmatimonadaceae. The record is from RNAcentral.
CGAGUAGGUGGCUUGUUAAGCGUGUGGUGAAAGCCCGGGGCUCAACCCCGGGUCUGCCGUGCGAACUGGCAAGCUUGAGCAGAGUAGAGGCGGGUGGAAUUUCGGGUGUAGCGGUGGAAUGCGUAGAUAUCCGAAAGAACACCGGUGGCGAAGGCGGCCCGCUGGGCUCUUGCUGACACUGAACCGCGACAGCGUGGGGAGCAAACAGGAUUAGAUACCCUGGUAGUCCACGCCGUAAACGAUGGGUACUAGGCGUCUGGGGGAGCGACCCCCUGGGUGCCGGCGCUAACGCAUGAAGUACCCCGCCUGGGGAGUACGGCCGCAAGGCUGAA